RNAcentral lists this long non-coding RNA (1050 nucleotides) under Felis catus (domestic cat). Its description in RNAcentral is "lncRNA (ENSFCAG00000049959.1)". The record is from RNAcentral. Lineage: Eukaryota; Metazoa; Chordata; Mammalia; Carnivora; Felidae.
AUGCCGAGCUCUUUUACUGGGGGGCGGGGGAGACGACACUGCGGUCCUAGCGCUGCUCAGUACGGCCCAGAACCUAGCCCUGUGGUGUGUCCCCCGAGGGCGCAGCGCGGGGCCCUCGGGGUCGAGGCCGCAGGCGGCGAGCUGGGGCCCCGAAGGCCCGGGCUGAGCUCACCCCUCGGUUCCCGCGUCCGCGGCCCUGAGCGCACGGUGCUCGGAACUCGGAGGUGUCCGCGACUCCGGCAGCACCGGCCCGGGAGGGUGCGAACCAGAGGCGUUCCGAUCCGCGGAGUCCCAGCCUGGAACGUUCGGACCCUCGGAUUCCGGCCUCGAGCGUUCGGACCCUCGGGUUCCGGCCCCCGCGGCGCUGAGAGCCCGGAGCGCCAGGGCGCGCCAGCCGCGGGAUCCGAGCCGCGGACGGCGGGCGGGACAGCUCCCCCGCUCCGCCCGUGGGGAGCGCUCGCCCCUCCAGGAAGCGCCCGCCUCGCCUCCCCACCCCCGCCCCCUCUCGGCCGGAGGGAGGAGCCCGAGCCGCCGCCGCCGCCGCCCGCCCGCCCGGGAGGAGCACUGGACCCCAGGCGGCUGGGAGCGCACGCGAGCUGGCCAGGGCCGCGCGGGCAGCGCCCUGAGCCCGUCCCGCGCCCGCGGGCCCCGCCAAGCAGAGGAGCGCCCCGGGAUGCCCCGGCGGCCCGGAGCGCGGGCAGCGGCAGCGGCGACCACGCCGUGAGGGCGGCGGCGCCCGCGGGACCCGUGGUGAGUGGGGCCCGGGCGGGCCAGGGGCGGGCGGGGCGCCCUGGCGCUAACGCUAAGUUCGGCCUUUCGGCUCGGCUUCUCGAGCCGGUGGCGGGUUGGAAGGAGGCUGGGUUCCGCCUCGGGGGCCGUGACACCCGAAGCCCCCGCCACCCGCGCGCACCCGGGCUCUGGCCUUUGGGUGACUCAGCUGCGACCCGGCCACGCGGGGGCGCUCCGGCUGCGCCCGGACCACGGUGGGGGAAAGAGGAAAGGGUGCUGGAGGAGGGUGGUGCCCCUCGGUGUCCGAGCCCAGCUGUGUAG